GGGGAUGUGGCUCAAGCGGUAGUGCAUUCACCUGGCAUGUGCAGGGCGCUGGGUUCGAUCCUCAGCACCACA
Molecule: transfer RNA, 72 nt
Filed under: Marmota monax (woodchuck)
Lineage: Eukaryota; Metazoa; Chordata; Mammalia; Rodentia; Sciuridae
Description: tRNA.Ala
Source: RNAcentral